Long non-coding RNA from Biomphalaria glabrata, 1429 nucleotides. RefSeq lists it as uncharacterized. The transcript has 3 exons. NCBI's taxonomy places the organism in Eukaryota, Metazoa, Mollusca, Gastropoda, Planorbidae. The record is from RefSeq and is a predicted model, not a curated record.
AGUCAUUUUGGACCCAAAAAUGGAUUUUUAGAUUUAAACGUAUUUAGAUAGCUUAUCCAUUUAUUUACUAGAAUAGAAUGUUCAAUUUUCUGAAAUAUUGCUUUAAAUUAUACUUUUUUUCAUUUUUAGGGUGCUUAUUAAUCAAGAUUUGAUUGAAAAACGUAAAAAUCCCCCAUAGUUACGCCUAUAAUAACUCUUUUGCAUAGCAAAUACUCUGGUCAUAUUUGGUAUCAAAUUGUUCGGCUUCAAAAGCACUUUUAAAAUUUGGCAACACUUCCUAAUCUAUUAUAAGAAGUUUUUAGCUAAAUUUAGAAACUUGCGUACUCUAUUUGGUAAGUUUUUCGUAUAAUUAUAGCCCACUCAUAAAUACUGAACGCUGAUUGGUUGCUUACCGGAAUACCCAUAGUGACUGUGUAUACGUCAGCUUAUCGAAAAUAGAAAAACAAACAUGCUGCCGUUUUCUCGUUGCAAACAAAACAGUUUCAGUAUCAUAAAAUAAACGUUUUUGUAUGUUUUAUUCUUGCUAUUCGGAAAUCUUCAUCAUGUUUGAAGUACUACUGGUAGCAGAAUGAAAUCCCUGCCUCCAACAUAAUACAAAGAUUGGUUUGAAUCUCACCAAGUUAAUUGUGAUAUCAACUAGAUCUAUUCUAUAAAGGAUUCAAGCAAUGGUGGCGACGCAUUCCGCUGAAAUAUUCUGGAAGAUAUUCAUCAACGAGUUUAACUGCGAUACACCACAGUGUUAUCCAAAUCUUUUAACAGAGUGUGUGGGAUUUAACCUUUUGAAGAUAUAAAAGUAACUUAAGAACAGUGCUACUCAAUUUACCAAAGGCUAUCAGAACAAGCAAAUUAUACAACGAUGUAAAUUUGGGGAAACUCAAAAUACGAUUACGUCGAUUCGCUCAUGAACUAGAAACUUUUGGACCAAAAUCUAGAUUUACUAAUCCAGAAAAAGAAAACUGUUCUAUUUUAGCUGCUGUGGGACAACUUAAUGUAAAUUUUUCUUUUGUCAGUGUAAUUAAAACUUUUUUUCAAUUAUUAGGCCAGCAAGAAAAACCAUCCACUUAGAUUAUCAAGCUUUCAGAAAAUCUUAAGAAAUGCAAUUUUAAAAAGUUAUAAAAAGAUUACUGUUGUUGAGAAAAGAUGCUAAAGCACACAUAGAAUUUCAGUUGAUAGAAGCAAAAGGAGUUUGUUAAUAUUCUGGAAAGUUUUAAAUCCAUUGUUUACAUUUUGAAUUUUUAGCUAUUUUUCUCAUAUUGCUAUCGACUUAUAUGAUCAUCUUAAAAGUACUAUAACUUAAAAACUUAUUGAUGAAAUGAUGUCAAAUUUUUUACAUUAUAAGACUAUAUUUAGUUAUCAAAGUGUGCAGUGUUAUUUAUUCAAAUAUAGUGAUUUUACAUAGUUUGACAAAUAAAUUUUAGUUUUAAAUCAA